GACAGAGGUGCCGAGCGUUAGGCGGAAUCACUGGGCUUAAAGCGUGUGUAGGUGGAUGCCUAAGUACCUUGUGAAAUCCCACGGCUUAACCGUGGAACUGCUUGGUAUACUGGGUGUCUUGAGCCAGCUAGGGGCUACCGGAACAAAUGGUGGAGCGGUGAAAUGCGUAGAUAUCAGGAGGAACACCGGUGGCGAAGGCGGCUACCUGGACAGAAACUGACGCUGAGGCACGAAAGCUAGGGGAGCAAACAGG
RNAcentral lists this ribosomal RNA (253 nucleotides) under uncultured bacterium. RNAcentral describes it as "partial 16S ribosomal RNA". It matches the Rfam family "Bacterial small subunit ribosomal RNA", at positions 524 to 776 of the family's 1533-position model. The record is from RNAcentral.